This 497-nucleotide ribosomal RNA is filed under the name uncultured bacterium. RNAcentral's name for it is "partial 16S ribosomal RNA". It matches the Rfam family "Bacterial small subunit ribosomal RNA", at positions 28 to 507 of the family's 1533-position model. The record is from RNAcentral.
GAUGAACGCUGGCGGCGUGCCUAAUACAUGCAAGUCGAGCGAACGGACGAGAAGCUUGCUUCUCUGAUGUUAGCGGCGGACGGGUGAGUAACACGUGGAUAACCUACCUAUAAGACUGGGAUAACUUCGGGAAACCGUAGCUAAUACCGGAUAAUAUUUUGAACCGCAUGGUUCAAAAGUUAAAGACGGUCUUGCUGUCACUUAUAGAUGGAUCCGCGUUGCAUUAGCUAGUUGGUAAGGUAACGGCUUACCAAGGCAACGAUGCAUAGCCGACCUGAGAGGGUGAUCGGCCACACUGGAACUGAGACACGGUCCAGACUCCUACGGGAGGCAGCAGUAGGGAAUCUUCCGCAAUGGGCGAAAGCCUGACGGAGCAACGCCGCGUGAGUGAUGAAGGUCUUCGGAUCGUAAAACUCUGUUAUUAGGAAAGAACAUAUGUGUAAGUAACUGUGCACAUCUUGACGGUACCUAAUCAGAAAGCCACGGCUAACUACGUG